RNAcentral lists this unclassified non-coding RNA (280 nucleotides) under Hevea brasiliensis (rubber tree). The record is from RNAcentral. Lineage: Eukaryota; Viridiplantae; Streptophyta; Magnoliopsida; Malpighiales; Euphorbiaceae.
CAGCGGCCACAUCCAGACCACUACCAAUAGAUGUAAUUAGAGCUGAUAGGCCACUACUAGGGCUUCCACCAGCAGCCAUCCCCAAUCCCAGAAAAUCUAGGGUAGUUUGCUUAGGACCAAACACAGAAGGAGUUCCCAUCAUCAAUUCCUUUAAUCCGGAACCUCCAUCACAAUGUAAGCCUAAUCCCAGCCCUGCAGUGACAGAGGUAUUCUCAGGCUCUACUUGCCCGUGACCCCAUGGCAUAUUGUCUUGCUGUGAAGAUGAUGAAGAAGAUGACAC